RNAcentral lists this ribosomal RNA (1424 nucleotides) under Klebsiella pneumoniae. RNAcentral's name for it is "bacterial SSU rRNA". It matches the Rfam family "Bacterial small subunit ribosomal RNA". The record is from RNAcentral. Lineage: Bacteria; Pseudomonadati; Pseudomonadota; Gammaproteobacteria; Enterobacterales; Enterobacteriaceae.
GCCUAACACAUGCAAGUCGAGCGGUAGCACAGAGAGCUUGCUCUCGGGUGACGAGCGGCGGACGGGUGAGUAAUGUCUGGGAAACUGCCUGAUGGAGGGGGAUAACUACUGGAAACGGUAGCUAAUACCGCAUAAUGUCGCAAGACCAAAGUGGGGGACCUUCGGGCCUCAUGCCAUCAGAUGUGCCCAGAUGGGAUUAGCUAGUAGGUGGGGUAACGGCUCACCUAGGCGACGAUCCCUAGCUGGUCUGAGAGGAUGACCAGCCACACUGGAACUGAGACACGGUCCAGACUCCUACGGGAGGCAGCAGUGGGGAAUAUUGCACAAUGGGCGCAAGCCUGAUGCAGCCAUGCCGCGUGUGUGAAGAAGGCCUUCGGGUUGUAAAGCACUUUCAGCGGGGAGGAAGGCGAUAAGGUUAAUAACCUUAUCGAUUGACGUUACCCGCAGAAGAAGCACCGGCUAACUCCGUGCCAGCAGCCGCGGUAAUACGGAGGGUGCAAGCGUUAAUCGGAAUUACUGGGCGUAAAGCGCACGCAGGCGGUCUGUCAAGUCGGAUGUGAAAUCCCCGGGCUCAACCUGGGAACUGCAUUCGAAACUGGCAGGCUAGAGUCUUGUAGAGGGGGGUAGAAUUCCAGGUGUAGCGGUGAAAUGCGUAGAGAUCUGGAGGAAUACCGGUGGCGAAGGCGGCCCCCUGGACAAAGACUGACGCUCAGGUGCGAAAGCGUGGGGAGCAAACAGGAUUAGAUACCCUGGUAGUCCACGCCGUAAACGAUGUCGAUUUGGAGGUUGUGCCCUUGAGGCGUGGCUUCCGGAGCUAACGCGUUAAAUCGACCGCCUGGGGAGUACGGCCGCAAGGUUAAAACUCAAAUGAAUUGACGGGGGCCCGCACAAGCGGUGGAGCAUGUGGUUUAAUUCGAUGCAACGCGAAGAACCUUACCUGGUCUUGACAUCCACAGAACUUUCCAGAGAUGGAUUGGUGCCUUCGGGAACUGUGAGACAGGUGCUGCAUGGCUGUCGUCAGCUCGUGUUGUGAAAUGUUGGGUUAAGUCCCGCAACGAGCGCAACCCUUAUCCUUUGUUGCCAGCGGUCCGGCCGGGAACUCAAAGGAGACUGCCAGUGAUAAACUGGAGGAAGGUGGGGAUGACGUCAAGUCAUCAUGGCCCUUACGACCAGGGCUACACACGUGCUACAAUGGCAUAUACAAAGAGAAGCGACCUCGCGAGAGCAAGCGGACCUCAUAAAGUAUGUCGUAGUCCGGAUUGGAGUCUGCAACUCGACUCCAUGAAGUCGGAAUCGCUAGUAAUCGUAGAUCAGAAUGCUACGGUGAAUACGUUCCCGGGCCUUGUACACACCGCCCGUCACACCAUGGGAGUGGGUUGCAAAAGAAGUAGGUAGCUUAACCUUCGGGAGGGCGCUACCACUUU